UGGUCUAGUGGUUAGAACGCUGGCCUUGUAAUCCUGGAGUCCCGGGUUCAAUUCCCGG
Molecule: transfer RNA, 58 nt
Filed under: Zootermopsis nevadensis
Lineage: Eukaryota; Metazoa; Arthropoda; Insecta; Blattodea; Termopsidae
Rfam family: tRNA
About the family: Transfer RNA (tRNA) molecules are approximately 80 nucleotides in length. Their secondary structure includes four short double-helical elements and three loops (D, anti-codon, and T loops). Further hydrogen bonds mediate the characteristic L-shaped molecular structure. tRNAs have two regions of fundamental functional importance: the anti-codon, which is responsible for specific mRNA codon recognition, and the 3' end, to which the tRNAs corresponding amino acid is attached (by aminoacyl-tRNA synthetases). tRNAs cope with the degeneracy of the genetic code in two manners: having more than one tRNA (with a specific anti-codon) for a particular amino acid; and 'wobble' base-pairing, i.e. permitting non-standard base-pairing at the 3rd anti-codon position.
Source: Rfam by way of RNAcentral